Molecule: transfer RNA, 86 nt
Filed under: Candidatus Eiseniibacteriota bacterium
Lineage: Bacteria; Candidatus Eiseniibacteriota
Description: tRNA-Leu
Rfam family: tRNA
About the family: Transfer RNA (tRNA) molecules are approximately 80 nucleotides in length. Their secondary structure includes four short double-helical elements and three loops (D, anti-codon, and T loops). Further hydrogen bonds mediate the characteristic L-shaped molecular structure. tRNAs have two regions of fundamental functional importance: the anti-codon, which is responsible for specific mRNA codon recognition, and the 3' end, to which the tRNAs corresponding amino acid is attached (by aminoacyl-tRNA synthetases). tRNAs cope with the degeneracy of the genetic code in two manners: having more than one tRNA (with a specific anti-codon) for a particular amino acid; and 'wobble' base-pairing, i.e. permitting non-standard base-pairing at the 3rd anti-codon position.
Source: RNAcentral
GCCCGGAUGGUGGAAUGGUAGACACAGCGGACUUAAAAUCCGCUGGGGCCUAAGGCUCCGUGUCGGUUCAAGUCCGACUCCGGGCA